This 270-nucleotide ribosomal RNA is filed under the name uncultured archaeon. RNAcentral describes it as "partial 16S ribosomal RNA". It matches the Rfam family "Archaeal small subunit ribosomal RNA", at positions 477 to 747 of the family's 1478-position model. The record is from RNAcentral.
CUGCAGCUCAAGUGGUGGCCGCUAUUAUUGGGCCUAAAACGUCCGUAGCCGGUUUAGUAAAUGCCUGGGUAAAUCGUGUAGCUUAACUAUACGACUUCCGGGUAGACUGCUAGACUUGGGACCGGGAGAGGCUAGAGGUACUCCUGGGGUAGAGGUGAACUUCUGUAAUCCUAGGGGGACCACCAGUGGCGAAGGCGUCUAGCUAGAACGGGUCUGACGGUGAGGGACGAAGCCCUGGGGCGCAAACCGGAUUAGAUACCCGCGUAGUCC